UACAUGGGGUGCAAACGUUGCUCGGAAUCAUUGGGCGUAAAGCGCGCGUAGGCGGUUACUUAUGUCGGAUGUGAAAGCCCUCGGCUUAACUGAGGAAGUGCAUUCGAAACUGGGUAGCUAGAGUACUAAAGAGGGUCGCGGAAUUCCCGGUGUAGAGGUGAAAUUCGUAGAUAUCGAGAGGAACACCUGCGGCGAAGGCGGGUUGCUGGGCCGACACUGACGCUGAUGCGCGAAAGCCAGGGGAGCGAACGGG
RNAcentral lists this ribosomal RNA (253 nucleotides) under uncultured bacterium. Its description in RNAcentral is "partial 16S ribosomal RNA". It matches the Rfam family "Bacterial small subunit ribosomal RNA", at positions 524 to 776 of the family's 1533-position model. The record is from RNAcentral.